UACGAAGGGGGCUAGCGUUGUUCGGAAUUACUGGGCGUAAAGCGCACGUAGGCGGAUAUUUAAGUCAGGGGUGAAAUCCCGCAGCUCAACUGCGGAACUGCCUUUGAUACUGGGUAUCUUGAGUAUGGAAGAGGUAAGUGGAAUUGCGAGUGUAGAGGUGAAAUUCGUAGAUAUUCGGAGGAACACCAGUGGCGAAGGCGGCUCACUGGCUCGAUACUGACGCUGAGGUGCGAAAGCGUGGGGAGCAAACAGG
This 253-nucleotide ribosomal RNA is filed under the name uncultured Agrobacterium sp. RNAcentral describes it as "partial 16S ribosomal RNA". It matches the Rfam family "Bacterial small subunit ribosomal RNA", at positions 524 to 776 of the family's 1533-position model. Lineage: Bacteria; Pseudomonadati; Pseudomonadota; Alphaproteobacteria; Hyphomicrobiales; Rhizobiaceae. The record is from RNAcentral.